UGUUAUAUAGUUUAAUAAAAACAUUAAUUUUGUAAAUUAAAAAUUUAAUAUUUAAUUAAUAUAACUA
This 67-nucleotide transfer RNA is filed under the name Bombus pascuorum. Its description in RNAcentral is "tRNA-Thr". Lineage: Eukaryota; Metazoa; Arthropoda; Insecta; Hymenoptera; Apidae. The record is from RNAcentral.